UAGGUGUAUUAAGUCUUUAGAAUUAAGCUU
This 30-nucleotide non-coding RNA is filed under the name Mus musculus (house mouse). Lineage: Eukaryota; Metazoa; Chordata; Mammalia; Rodentia; Muridae. The record is from RNAcentral.